This 253-nucleotide ribosomal RNA is filed under the name uncultured bacterium. RNAcentral describes it as "partial 16S ribosomal RNA". It matches the Rfam family "Bacterial small subunit ribosomal RNA", at positions 524 to 776 of the family's 1533-position model. The record is from RNAcentral.
UACGUAGGCAGCAAGCGUUGUUCGGAAUUACUGGGCGUAAAGAGUGUGUAGGCGGUUUUCUAAGUUUGGUGUGAAAUCUCCCGGCUUAACUGGGAGGGUGCGCCGAAAACUGGGAGGCUUGAGUGCCGGAGAGGAUAGCGGAAUUCCUGGUGUAGCGGUGAAAUGCGUAGAUAUCAGGAGGAACACCUGCGGUGUAGACGGCUAUCUGGACGGCCACUGACGCUGAGACACGAAAGCGUGGGUAGCAAACAGG